GAAAGCCUGUUUUUUUGCGGCGAUCCAUGUCUCCGUCUUCAGGUCGAAUGCUAGGAAGUCUUCUCCAUCAUAA
This is a long non-coding RNA of Etheostoma spectabile (orangethroat darter), 73 nucleotides long. RefSeq lists it as uncharacterized. NCBI's taxonomy places the organism in Eukaryota, Metazoa, Chordata, Actinopteri, Perciformes, Percidae. The record is from RefSeq and is a predicted model, not a curated record. The transcript has 3 exons.